AGUUCCGACCUGCACGAAUGGCGUAACGAUGGCCAUACUGUCUCCAACCGAGACUCAGUGAAAUUGAAAUUGCAGUGAAGAUGCUGUGUACCCGCACCUAGACGGAAAGACCCCGUGAACCUUUACUACAGCUUGGCACUGAACAUUGAACCUACAUGUGUAGGAUAGGUGGGAGGCUUCGAAGCACAGUCGCUAGAUUGUGUGGAGCCGUCCUUGAAAUACCACCCUUGUACGUUUGAUGUUCUAACAUUGGUCCCUUAUCGGGAUUGUGGACAGUGUCUGGUGGGUAGUUUGACUGGGG
RNAcentral lists this ribosomal RNA (301 nucleotides) under Oxyrrhis marina. Its description in RNAcentral is "partial Bacterial large subunit ribosomal RNA". It matches the Rfam family "Bacterial large subunit ribosomal RNA", at positions 1979 to 2279 of the family's 2925-position model. The record is from RNAcentral. Lineage: Eukaryota; Dinophyceae; Oxyrrhinales; Oxyrrhinaceae.